Apis mellifera (honey bee) is the source of this 569-nucleotide long non-coding RNA. RefSeq lists it as uncharacterized. The transcript has 2 exons. The record is from RefSeq and is a predicted model, not a curated record. NCBI's taxonomy places the organism in Eukaryota, Metazoa, Arthropoda, Insecta, Hymenoptera, Apidae.
UAGAAAUGGUUGGAUUAUCUUGAUGAUGAAUAGUAAUUCAUUUUAUUAAGAGUUUUCUUAUUAUUAUUUUAUUUAAUUUAUUAUUUGUUUUGUGUGUGUUAUUAAAAAUAUAUUUUAUAAGUAUAUAAUAUUAAUAAUUUGUAGGAAAUAAUUUUAUGUAAAUGUGUUAUCAAUUUUGCUUCUGAGAUGUGUUCGCUUUCGUAUCUCGACGAUGAAUAAAAUGAAAUGUACACAGAGGAUAUAAAUUGUACGAGACUAGCCACGUUUGACGAUCCCGCUCAGUUGACUCACGAUGACGUGCAAAAGCCAACGACAACUGAAGUCGAAGAAAUGCUUGCGAGUACGAGAAUGCGCUCAGGUAUGCGGCAGUCGCGCGUUGAAAACAUUCGCAACAUGGAAGUCGACCGACUGAAGAAAGAUUGUUAUUUUAAUCUGUUUAACUCUCUAUCUUAACGUCACUCAAUUCAAAAAUUACGCAUAUAUAUCGUACGUUUAGACGGAACAAUAAUACAACUACAAAAAUGUUAGAAGAUGAUUGGAAAAUAAAAAUGUUAUUAAUGAAAUAAGAA